RNAcentral lists this ribosomal RNA (206 nucleotides) under uncultured eukaryote. RNAcentral describes it as "partial 18S ribosomal RNA". It matches the Rfam family "Eukaryotic small subunit ribosomal RNA", at positions 1299 to 1458 of the family's 1831-position model. The record is from RNAcentral.
UGGUGGAGCGAUUUGUCUGGUUAAUUCCGUUAACGAACGAGACCUCAGCCUGCUAAAUAGCAAACGGGAUCUUCAGCUAAGGUGAAGCGCUGGUCGUAGGGCGGUGGCUUGCCAUCGCCUUCUCUGGUGUGGAUCCUUGAUGCAUACCGCUCGGCUUCUUAGAGGGACUAUUGGUGUUUAACCAAUGGAAGUUUGAGGCAAUAACA